UGCCCCAUGGCUAAGAUGGUUAAAGCGUCCGACUGUUAUGUGAGCGGUCAUCGGAAGGUCCUGAGUUCGAUCCUCAGUGGGGCAG
Non-coding RNA from Cytidiella melzeri, 85 nucleotides. The record is from the annotation of a GenBank genome assembly. Lineage: Eukaryota; Fungi; Basidiomycota; Agaricomycetes; Polyporales; Irpicaceae.